RNAcentral lists this ribosomal RNA (513 nucleotides) under Triticum aestivum (bread wheat). Its description in RNAcentral is "partial small subunit ribosomal RNA". The record is from RNAcentral. Lineage: Eukaryota; Viridiplantae; Streptophyta; Magnoliopsida; Poales; Poaceae.
AUGUGGCCUACACCACCACGGUCCGCGGAUUCCCGGACCUCCUCGAGGCCGCGUGCGCCGCCCGUCCAGAACUUGCUCUUCUCCGCCUGCCGCCUCGCCAUCAACGACCUCCCCAACCAGCUCUUCGCCUGGGAUGUCAUCCUCGUCGACGGCCCGCGCGGGUACGCGGCGUCGUCGCCGGGUCGGAUGUCGGCGAUUUCACCGCGGGCUCGGAAGGAGGAGGGCGCCUCGACGGACAUGCUGGUGCACGACUACGAGCGGGAGAUGGAGCGGGCGUGCUCCAGGGAGUUCCUGUUGCCCCUUUUCUUACUUCAUUUUGUUUUUCCCUUCGUUCGAUUUUUCACGUCGCCUGACAGGAUCCAUAAUGGCAAAGAAGUGAAAAGAAAACACAGAACAAAGGAUGAACGCCAGAGAGCACUACUGUAUAAUUCCCCCCAAAAUAUGAUGGGCAGUGGUGUGCUUGUUUCUGUUUCCAUCUCAAAUAUGGAUUACCAAUAUACUACUCUCACUUGA